GCCCACAUCGCAUAAUGGUAUUGCAGCGGAUUGCUAAUCCGCGCCCUUCGGGGCUUCCAGGUUCGAUUCCUGGUGUGGGCG
This 81-nucleotide transfer RNA is filed under the name Candidatus Pacearchaeota archaeon. Its description in RNAcentral is "tRNA-Ser". It matches the Rfam family "tRNA". From Rfam's summary of the family: Transfer RNA (tRNA) molecules are approximately 80 nucleotides in length. Their secondary structure includes four short double-helical elements and three loops (D, anti-codon, and T loops). The record is from RNAcentral. Lineage: Archaea; Nanobdellati.